UAAUACGUAGGGUGCAAGCGUUGUCCGGAAUUAUUGGGCGUAAAGAGCUCGUAGGCGGUUUGUCGCGUCGAAUGUGAAAACCCGGGGCUCAACUCCGGGCCUGCAUUCGAUACGGGCAGACUAGAGUUCGGUAGGGGAGACUGGAAUUCCUGGUGUAGCGGUGAAAUGCGCAGAUAUCAGGAGGAACACCGGUGGCGAAGGCGGGUCUCUGGGCCGAUACUGACGCUGAGGAGCGAAAGCGUGGGGAGCGAACAGGAUUAGAUACCCUGGUAGUCCACGCCGUAAACGUUGGGCGCUAGGUGUGGGGGUCCUUCCACGACCUCCGUGCCGCAGCUAACGCAUUAAGCGCCCCGCCUGGGGAGUACGGCCGCAAGGCUA
RNAcentral lists this ribosomal RNA (378 nucleotides) under uncultured bacterium. RNAcentral's name for it is "bacterial SSU rRNA". It matches the Rfam family "Bacterial small subunit ribosomal RNA", at positions 521 to 896 of the family's 1533-position model. The record is from RNAcentral.